GAAGAAUAUAUCUGCGUGUUGCAGGGACAAUAAGUGAAGGAGGCAGGGAAAUGGAAGAAAGCCUUAAGAUCACAGUAACAGUCUUGCCCAGUAGCUUCACUGGCAGGAUAAAAAUGGCAGGCCGAGAGGUUUUGAAAAGUGGUGAUUUGGGACUGUGCUGCCUCAGGAUCAAAGGAAAUUCAGAGAGGGAGGGAAAUCUUCACUACGGGGUCGAAGUGGGCAGCAUUUAAACUUCUUCCUUGAAAAUACUGUGGAACUGCUGACCAUACAAAAACGUGCGUGCAAAGUAACACAAGAUCUGGAGCGGUUA
Long non-coding RNA from Lepidothrix coronata (blue-crowned manakin), 310 nucleotides. RefSeq lists it as uncharacterized. The record is from RefSeq and is a predicted model, not a curated record. NCBI's taxonomy places the organism in Eukaryota, Metazoa, Chordata, Aves, Passeriformes, Pipridae. The transcript has 3 exons.